CAGGUAGCUCAGUCGGUAGAGCAAAGGACUGAAAAUCCUUGUGUCGCCGGUUCGAUCCCGGCCCUG
Molecule: transfer RNA, 66 nt
Filed under: marine eukaryotic metagenome
Rfam family: tRNA
About the family: Transfer RNA (tRNA) molecules are approximately 80 nucleotides in length.
Source: RNAcentral